GCCUUCGGGAACUCUGAGACAGGUGCUGCAUGGUUGUCGUCAGCUCGUGUUGUGAAAUGUUGGGUUAAGUCCCGCAACGAGCGCAACCCUUAUUGUUUGUUGCCACCGGUUAGGUCGGGAACUCAAAGGAAACGGCCGGGGAUAACCUGGAGGAAGGGGGGGAUGACGUCAAUUCUUCUGGGCCCUUAGUAUUAGGGUUACCCACGUGCUACAUGGGCAUAUACAAAGAGAAGCGACCUCCCGAGAGGAGCUAAACUUCAUAACUUAUGUCGUAUUCCGGAUUGGAGUCUGCCUCUCGACUCCGUGAAUGGAGAAUCGCUAGUAAUCGUGGAUCAAAAGUGCCGGGUGAAUACUUCCCC
Molecule: ribosomal RNA, 359 nt
Filed under: Citrobacter braakii
Lineage: Bacteria; Pseudomonadati; Pseudomonadota; Gammaproteobacteria; Enterobacterales; Enterobacteriaceae
Description: bacterial SSU rRNA
Rfam family: Bacterial small subunit ribosomal RNA
Source: RNAcentral